This is a long non-coding RNA of Tupaia belangeri chinensis (Chinese tree shrew), 322 nucleotides long. RefSeq lists it as uncharacterized. The transcript is spliced from 3 exons. Lineage: Eukaryota; Metazoa; Chordata; Mammalia; Scandentia; Tupaiidae. The record is from RefSeq and is a predicted model, not a curated record.
CAGGUCUUGCUGGCUCUCAAGUCCUGUCCCCCUGCAGGUUACUUGCACAACCCACCAGGUUAAUCCUCGCAACUGCCACUUGAUUGUACCUCCCACCUGCUCAAGGUCUUCCCAGGGUUUCCUGCAGUUUGCAGAAAGAGGGGUCAAUUCCAGAGGUUGAAAAUUGUAUUGUGGCUACGUAAAUAUUCCCAGCAGAACCAAGAAGAGCAAGGAACUGUCUUGGGACUAGAAUCAUCUGACUGUGAACACAGAUCUCAGCAUUACUCAAGCUGUCUAGCAAGUGGGAGAGAGUUAGAUGGAUCCAACUUGGCCAUAGUUCUCC